Cannabis sativa is the source of this 1298-nucleotide long non-coding RNA. RefSeq lists it as uncharacterized. The record is from RefSeq and is a predicted model, not a curated record. The transcript has 2 exons. NCBI's taxonomy places the organism in Eukaryota, Viridiplantae, Streptophyta, Magnoliopsida, Rosales, Cannabaceae.
UUCAGUGCUAUUGACCUAUCCCGUCGGUACAGGCUGGAGUAUGACCAGCAGCCGGAGUAUGACCGGUUCGACCGAUCAGGAGGAUACUUGUCAAUAGUACCGUCCCCUGAACGUUCAAAACUCAGUACCAUGUUGGACAUGGCAGUAGUGCUCAGUACCAUGUUGGACAUGGCAGUAGCGGGACUCAGUAUCGUGUUGGACACGGCAGUCAGUUUUAUGUAUGAUAUUAGUAUGCUUUUCUUACUGAGUCUGUCGACUCACAGUUUACGUUCAUGUGUAGGUAAAGGCAAGGCAGUUGCUGAUGGACCGUGAGCGAGCUUAUGGGGUUGUACAUGUCGGGGCGGUUAGGCCUGGAGCGUACGAUCCUCGGGACAGCAGGGCUGAGAUUUUUGUAACGGUCGUUAGAUGACCUUAUUUUGAUGUAAAAGUUGAAUAGUAAAAACGUUUGUAAAUAUUUUUAUAAAUCGGGAUCCCGAGACUUUUUGGUAAAAUGGUUUAUAAGUUUAAUGAAAAAGCAAAAUUUUAAUUAAUCACGUUUUUCCAUAAACCUCGUUGGUUAGCAACGAGCUGCACAGUACGUUUAAAAAUCACGUAAUACGCCUAAAUUAGUUAGGGUGUUACAGUGAAUUAGGUGUAAUUCCUCUCUAAUUACUUGGUUUAUGUUAGGUGAAAGUUUGGUAUGAUUGUGGGUUGAUAUAGCAUGAAAAUUGGUGUUUUUGGAUGCAUUUUCGUGGCUGGAAACUGGGUUUCCUGGGUUUUUAAACCCAGUAGCCGCGGCCAUUUUUGGCAGCUUAUUGUAUUUUUUUCGGGUUUUUGUUUUGGUCAUAACUUUUGACUCGGGACUCCGUUUGGGACGUUCUUUAUAUCGUUGGAAAGCUCGUUCCGAGCUCUAUCUGAAUAUCUGGAAUUUAAAUGCCCAGUUUUUAAUUUGUGGAAAUGGAUUUUGGGAUUAACCCUAUACUUGUGUAUCCCGGAAUUGUGACUAGGAUUACCGGCACUUGGUCAGGAGCACCCGGGGAUUUGGAAUCUCCAUAUUUGUGGGACAUCAGGAAAGGGUAAAUCUAUCUCUGAUCAGCCAUGAGUAUGGGAGUUGGGCGAUGUAUGUACAUGUUCGGGCCACACUAGACCAAGCGGGUUGGGGUCUACCUGCGUUGAAACUUUUGUAACUCUAUUUUUGCCGCUUAGGUCGGCUAAGGAGAAAAGACUUGUAAUAUUUUGUAAAAUGAUUUUUUUUUGGGAUCCCGAAACAUGUAACUUUUGUUUGUAAGGUUAAAAUUAUUACAAGUUUAUUUUCAUUC